Molecule: long non-coding RNA, 514 nt
Filed under: Ananas comosus (pineapple)
Lineage: Eukaryota; Viridiplantae; Streptophyta; Magnoliopsida; Poales; Bromeliaceae
Description: long non-coding RNA (ACOM_LNC030935)
Source: RNAcentral
GUAAAAUAUAAUGUUGAGUUAAAAAUGUUUGCAACAUUUUAAGUGAGAUUUAAGUUUGAUUUUUAGGGUAAAACAUAUAGAUCGUUCUGUGCAAAAAGUUAUUUAUACAAUAAAGUAAGUUAAUUUAGAUAAAAAGAUACAGAACUUAUCUAAACUAUAGGCCAUUUUGAAUCGACUAUUUAACAUUUUAAAAUUUCAAUUUUACUACCCGACCUUUCAUUUUAUUAAUUUGAAUCAUUCAACGGUACUUUGACUUUAAAAUUUAAGCCAAUCAUUUACUUUAAUAAAUUUACAGUUACGAGAAUCGUAUAAAGUAUACUAACUAAAUGUGUAAAGAUAAAUGAUGCAUUCGAAUUUUAAAGUAAAAAAUACUGUUGACUGACUCAAAUCAAACAAAUUGAAAAUUGAUAAUAAAAUUAAAUUUUGAACAAUUGAACAGCCAAAUAAAAAUAGUUCAUAGUUCAGAUAAGUUUUGUACUUAUUCAUCACGAACUUACCCAACCCGAAUCCUAUU